This 1231-nucleotide ribosomal RNA is filed under the name metagenome. Its description in RNAcentral is "bacterial SSU rRNA". It matches the Rfam family "Bacterial small subunit ribosomal RNA", at positions 263 to 1520 of the family's 1533-position model. The record is from RNAcentral.
GCCCACCAAGGCGACGAUCGGUAGCCGGACUGAGAGGUUGAACGGCCACAUUGGGACUGAGACACGGCCCAGACUCCUACGGGAGGCAGCAGGGGGGAAUAUUGCACAGUGGGGGAAACCCUGAUGCAGCGACACCGCGUGGAGGAAGGAGGUCUUCGGAUUGUAAACUCCUGUUGUUGGGGAAGAUAAUGACGGUACCCAACAAGGAAGUGACGGCUAACUACGUGCCAGCAGCCGCGGUAAAACGUAGGUCACAAGCGUUGUCCGGAAUUACUGGGUGUAAAGGGAGCGCAGGCGGGAAGACAAGUUGGAAGUGAAAUCUAUGGGCUCAACCCAUAAACUGCUUUCAAAACUGUUUUUCUUGAGUAGUGCAGAGGUAGGCGGAAUUCCCGGUGUAGCGGUGGCAUGCGUAGAUAUCGGGAGGAACACCAGUGGCGAAGGCGGCCUACUGGGCACCAACUGACGCUGAGGCUCGAAAGUGUGGGUAGCAAACAGGAUUAGAUACCCUGGUAGUCCACACCGUAAACGAUGAUUACUAGGUGUUGGAGGAUUGACCCCUUCAGUGCCGCAGUUAACACAAUAAGUAAUCCACCUGGGGAGUACGACCGCAAGGUUGAAACUCAAAGGAAUUGACGGGGGCCCGCACAAGCAGUGGAGUAUGUGGUUUAAUUCGACGCAACGCGAAGAACCUUACCAAGUCUUGACAUCCCUUGACAGGCAUAGAAAUAUGUUUUCUCUUCGGAGCAAGGAGACAGGUGGUGCAUGGUUGUCGUCAGCUCGUGUCGUGAGAUGUUGGGUUAAGUCCCGCAACGAGCGCAACCCUUAUGGUCAGUUACUACGCAAGAGGACUCUGGCCAGACUGCCGUUGACAAAACGGAGGAAGGUGGGGAUGACGUCAAAUCAUCAUGCCCUUUAUGACUUGGGCUACACACGUACUACAAUGGCGUUAAACAAAGAGAAGCGAGACCGCGAGGUGGAGCAAAACUCAGAAACAACGUCCCAGUUCGGACUGCAGGCUGCAACUCGCCUGCACGAAGUCGGAAUUGCUAGUAAUCGUGGAUCAGCAUGCCACGGUGAAUACGUUCCCGGGCCUUGUACACACCGCCCGUCACACCAUGAGAGCCGGGGGACCCGAAGUCGGUAGUCUAACCGCAAGGAGGACGCCGCCGAAGGUAAAACUGGUGAUUGGGGUGAAGUCGGAACAAGGUAGCCGUAGGAGAACCUGCGGCUG